GAGCGAGAAAGAGGAGCAAUCCUUGAGUACAGCGGCGUACGGGUGAGUAACACGUGGGUAAUCUACCUCUGAGUGGGGAAUAACCCUGGGAAACCGGGGCUAAUACCGCAUAAGCCUGAGAAGGGAAAGCAGCAAUGCGCUGAGAGAGGAGCCCGCGGCCGAUUAGCUAGUUGGUGAGGUAAAGGCUCACCAAGGCGAUGAUCGGUAGCCGGCCUGAGAGGGCACACGGCCACACUGGCACUGAAACACGGGCCAGACUCCUACGGGAGGCAGCAGUGGGGAAUCUUGCACAAUGGAGGCAACUCUGAUGCAGCGACGCCGAGUGAGCGAUGAAGCCCUUCGGGGUGUAAAGCUCUUUCGGCAGGGACGAUAAUGACGGUACCUGAAGAAGAAGCUGCGGCUAACUACGUG
Molecule: ribosomal RNA, 411 nt
Filed under: uncultured bacterium
Lineage: Bacteria
Description: bacterial SSU rRNA
Rfam family: Bacterial small subunit ribosomal RNA
Source: RNAcentral